UUUCCGUAGGUGAACCUGCGGAAGGAUCAUUACUGAGUGAGGGCCCCUCGGGGGCCAACCUCCCACCCGUGUGUAACGAACCUUGUUGCUUCGGCGGGCCCGCCUCACGGCCGCCGGGGUGCAUCUGCCCCCGGGCCCGCGUACGCCGAAACCACCUGUGAACGUUGUCUGAAGUAUGCAGUCUGAGACAAUUACUAAAUUAAUUAAAACUUUCAACAACGGAUCUCUUGGUUCUG
Molecule: unclassified non-coding RNA, 236 nt
Filed under: plant metagenome
Description: partial contains small subunit ribosomal RNA, internal transcribed spacer 1, and 5.8S ribosomal RNA
Source: RNAcentral